UGCUGAUCUAAGUGCAGUGGUGUUUACAACUAAUUGAUCACAACCAAUUACAGAUUUCUUUGUUUCUUCUCCUCUCCCACUGCUUCACUUGACCAGCCUUUU
Gorilla gorilla gorilla (western lowland gorilla) is the source of this 102-nucleotide unclassified non-coding RNA. It matches the Rfam family "Y RNA". From Rfam's summary of the family: Y RNAs are components of the Ro ribonucleoprotein particle (Ro RNP), in association with Ro60 and La proteins. The Y RNAs and Ro60 and La proteins are well conserved, but the function of the Ro RNP is not known. The record is from Ensembl. Lineage: Eukaryota; Metazoa; Chordata; Mammalia; Primates; Hominidae.